RNAcentral lists this long non-coding RNA (930 nucleotides) under Homo sapiens (human). RNAcentral's name for it is "long non-coding RNA NONHSAT055933.2". Lineage: Eukaryota; Metazoa; Chordata; Mammalia; Primates; Hominidae. The record is from RNAcentral.
GACAAGAUCCAGAAGCUUUAUGAACGAAAGAUAAAGGAGGGAAUGGAUAUGAACUACAUUAUCCAAAGGAAGAAAGAAUUUCGGAACCCUAGCAUCUACGAGAAGCUGAUCCAGUUCUGUGCCAUUGACGAGCUUGGCACCAACUACCCAAAGGAUAUGUUUGAUCCCCAUGGCUGGUCUGAGGACUCCUACUAUGAGGCAUUAGCCAAGGCCCAGAAAAUUGAGAUGGACAAAUUGGAAAAGGCCAAAAAGGAGCGAACAAAAGUAAGUGAUGGCAGACCUCCUAGAUGAAAAAGGCACAUGUGGAGUGCAUGGGUCCUGCUGGCUGAGCCCAGAAGGUGUCCAGGCUGCCCCCAACCCUGGCCCCGUGUCAUCACCCGGCGAUGCUCUGAGCCUCUCAGCAGGGCCUGUGUGCUGAGCAGACCUGCUGGGUUCACGGCGCUCGUCUGCUGCUUUUGCCCUCGGAGACUUGUUUGCUACAUUGUGCCCCCCUUUCCUCCCCGCCAAUUGCAGAGCCUUGGGGGGCUUUGUCCGUUUUGGGUCAUGGGGGCCCUUUGUAGCCUGAAGGGAGGGAAAUAGUUCCCUAAGAGAGUGCCAGGCCCAGCUUGCGCUGCUCGGUGAGUGUCUUGGCCUCCAGAGCUGCCCUCAGUGGCUCGCCUGGGUGCUACCUAUUAGGUCCCACGUUAGGGCCCUGAGCACCACUUGUUCCCUGGCAGUGUGGUCUGGGUUCUUCAGGGAGCAUCAGUUUGGCUGGGAGACCAAACUGUUAUCUCUGGGCCUUGUUCCCUUUGUGACCAGUCUCAGAGCCGGGCAUCAGGACACCAGCUCCUCCCACUUCUGGCUCGGCCUGACCAUCCUCAAGCAGCUGCGGCCUCCAGACCGCUUCCCUCACCCCAAGCAGAGGGGCUGUGGGGCCUGGGCAUGCUGGUG